Triticum aestivum (bread wheat) is the source of this 82-nucleotide non-coding RNA. The record is from Rfam. NCBI's taxonomy places the organism in Eukaryota, Viridiplantae, Streptophyta, Magnoliopsida, Poales, Poaceae.
GUGAGGAUGAAGAGGAAAAUCAUUCGGAUUCCCAUUGAUUUGUAAUAAACAUGAGAUCUUUAACCAGCUACUUCUGACUCGU